ACGAACGCUGGCGGCGUGCUUAACACAUGCAAGUCGAGCGAGGCCCCUCCUUCGGGAGGGUGUCCUAGCGGCGAACGGGUGAGUAACACGUGGGCAACCUGCCCUCAGCUCUGGGAUAACUCCGGGAAACCGGGGCUAAUACCGGAUACGACCUCCACGGGCAUCUGCGGAGGUGGAAAGUUUUUCGGCUGAGGAUGGGCCCGCGGCCUAUCAGCUAGUUGGUGGGGUAGUGGCCCACCAAGGCGACGACGGGUAGCCGGCCUGAGGGGGCGACCGGCCACACUGGGACUGAGACACGGCCCAGACUCCUACGGGAGGCAGCAGUGGGGAAUAUUGCGCAAUGGGCGAAAGCCUGACGCAGCGACGCCGCGUGAGGGACGAAGGCCUUCGGGUUGUAAACCUCUUUCAGCAGGGACGAAGCGAAAGUGACGGUACCUGCAGAAGAAGCACCGGCCAACUACGUG
This 464-nucleotide ribosomal RNA is filed under the name uncultured bacterium. RNAcentral describes it as "partial 16S ribosomal RNA". It matches the Rfam family "Bacterial small subunit ribosomal RNA", at positions 29 to 507 of the family's 1533-position model. The record is from RNAcentral.